AGUUCCGUAGGUGAACCUGCGGAAGGAUCAUUACCGAGUGCGGGCCCUCUGGGUCCAACCUCCCACCCGUGUCUAUUGUACCUUGUUGCUUCGGCGGGCCCGCCGUCUUCGGACGGCCGCCGGGGAGGCCUCCGCGCCCCCGGGCCCGCGCCCGCCGAAGACCACAACAUGAACUCUGUUCUGAAGUUUUGCAGUCUGAGUUGAUUAUCAUAAUCAGUUAAAACUUUCAACAACGGAUCUCUUGGUUCCGGCAUCGAUGAAGAACGCAGCGAAAUGCGAUAACUAAUGUGAAUUGCAGAAUUCAGUGAAUCAUCGAGUCUUUGAACGCACAUUGCGCCCCCUGGUAUUCCGGGGGGCAUGCCUGUCCGAGCGUCAUUGCUGCCCUCAAGCACGGCUUGUGUGUUGGGCCCCCGUCCCCGCCUCACCGCGGGGACGGGCCCGAAAGGUCUACGGCGGGCACGGGCCCCGGGCCUCGGGCAGAUGCGCCCUUGUCCCCCGCGGCUGACAGGCGGCGGGCCCGCCGAAGCAACAGGCUACAAAAAACCCAAGGAUGUCGGAGGUUGGGGCCAAAGGAAUCUUUCUCGGUCAGGGCCCCG
This 596-nucleotide ribosomal RNA is filed under the name Aspergillus clavatus. RNAcentral's name for it is "eukaryotic LSU rRNA". The stretch from base 222 to 375 matches the Rfam family "5.8S ribosomal RNA". Lineage: Eukaryota; Fungi; Ascomycota; Eurotiomycetes; Eurotiales; Aspergillaceae. The record is from RNAcentral.